GAUGAACGCUGGCGGCGUGCCUAAUACAUGCAAGUCGAGCGAACGGACGAGAAGCUUGCUUCUCUGAUGUUAGCGGCGGACGGGUGAGUAACACGUGGAUAACCUACCUAUAAGACUGGGAUAACUUCGGGAAACCGGAGCUACUACCGGAUAAUAUUUUGAACCGCAUGGUUCAAAAGUGAAAGACGGUCUUGCUUUCACUUAUAGAUGGAUCCGCGCUGCAUUAGCUAGUUGGUAAGGUAACGGCUUACCAAGGCAACGAUGCAUAGCCGACCUGAGAGGGUGAUCGGCCACACUGGAACUGAGACACGGUCCAGAAUCCUACGGGAGGCAGCAGUAGGGAAUCUUACGCAAUGGGCGAAAGACUGACGGAGCAACGCCGCGUGAGUGAUGAAGGUCUUCGGAUCGUAAAACUCUGUUAUUAGGGAAGAACAUAUGUGUAAGUAACUGUGCACAUCUUGACGGUACCUAAUCAGAAAGCCACGGCUAACUACGUG
Molecule: ribosomal RNA, 497 nt
Filed under: uncultured bacterium
Lineage: Bacteria
Description: partial 16S ribosomal RNA
Rfam family: Bacterial small subunit ribosomal RNA
Source: RNAcentral